This 253-nucleotide ribosomal RNA is filed under the name uncultured bacterium. RNAcentral describes it as "partial 16S ribosomal RNA". It matches the Rfam family "Bacterial small subunit ribosomal RNA", at positions 524 to 776 of the family's 1533-position model. The record is from RNAcentral.
UACGGAGGGUGCAAACGUUGCUCGGAAUCAUUGGGCGUAAAGCGCACGUAGGCGGUUCGUUAAGUCGGGUGUGAAAGCCCUGGGCUCAACCCAGGAAGUGCAUCCGAAACUGGCGAGCUGGAGUAUGGAAGAGGGUCGCGGAAUUCCCGGUGUAGAGGUGAAAUUCGUAGAUAUCGGGAGGAACACAAGUGGCGAAGGCGGCGACCUGGGCCAAUACUGACGCUGAGGUGCGAAAGCGUGGGGAGCAAACAGG